AUACGGGGGGGGCAAGCGUUGUUCGGAAUUAUUGGGCGUAAAGGGCGUGUAGGCGGCCCUGCAAGUCUUUCGUGAAAUCCCACAGCUCAACUGUGGAACUGCGAGGGAAACUGCAGGACUUGAGUCCGGCAGAGGAGAGUGGAAUUCCCAGUGUAGCGGUGAAAUGCGUAGAUAUUGGGAGGAACACCGGUGGCGAAGGCGGCUCUCUGGACCGGUACUGACGCUGAAGCGCGAAAGCUAGGGGAGCAAACGGGAUUAGAUACCCCAGUAGUCC
Molecule: ribosomal RNA, 274 nt
Filed under: uncultured bacterium
Lineage: Bacteria
Description: partial 16S ribosomal RNA
Rfam family: Bacterial small subunit ribosomal RNA
Source: RNAcentral